UGGUGAGGUGUCCGAGUGGCUGAAGGAGCACGCCUGGAAAGUGUGUAUACGCACCGUAUCGGGGGUUCGAAUCCCCCCCUCACCGCCAU
This 89-nucleotide transfer RNA is filed under the name Salmonella enterica subsp. enterica serovar Schwarzengrund str. SL480. RNAcentral describes it as "tRNA-Ser". It matches the Rfam family "tRNA". Rfam says of the family: Transfer RNA (tRNA) molecules are approximately 80 nucleotides in length. Their secondary structure includes four short double-helical elements and three loops (D, anti-codon, and T loops). The record is from RNAcentral. Lineage: Bacteria; Pseudomonadati; Pseudomonadota; Gammaproteobacteria; Enterobacterales; Enterobacteriaceae.